RNAcentral lists this ribosomal RNA (518 nucleotides) under uncultured bacterium. RNAcentral describes it as "bacterial SSU rRNA". It matches the Rfam family "Bacterial small subunit ribosomal RNA", at positions 158 to 696 of the family's 1533-position model. The record is from RNAcentral.
GACUGCUAAUACUUUAUACUCCUUUUUAAUUAAUUUAAAAAGGGAAAUGCUUUUGUGCCAAGGGAUGGAACUAUAUCCUAUCAGCUUGUUGGUAAGGUAAUGGCUUACCAAGGCUAUGACGGGUAGCUGGUUUGAGAGGAUGAUCAGCCACACUGGAACUGAGACACGGUCCAGACUCCUACGGGAGGCAGCAGUGGGGAAUAUUGGGCAAUGGGCGAAAGCCUGACCCAGCAAUACCGCGUGGAGGAUGACGGUUUUCGGAUUGUAAACUCCUUUUAACUGAGAAGAUAAUGACGGUAUCAGUUGAAUAAGCACCGGCUAACUCCGUGCCAGCAGCCGCGGUAAUACGGAGGGUGCAAGCAUUACUCGGAAUCACUGGGCGUAAAGAGCGUGUAGGCGGUCUAUUAAGUCUUGUGUGAAAUCUUACGGCUUAACCGUAAAACUGCACAGGAAACUGAUAGACUAGAGUAUGGGAGAGGUAGAUGGAAUUCUCGGUGUAGGGGUAAAAUCCGUANAUA